Molecule: ribosomal RNA, 443 nt
Filed under: uncultured bacterium
Lineage: Bacteria
Description: partial 16S ribosomal RNA
Rfam family: Bacterial small subunit ribosomal RNA
Source: RNAcentral
CCUACGGGUGGCAGCAGUGGGGAAUAUUCGGCAAUGAGCGCAAGCCUGACCCAGCAACGCCGCGUGAAGGAAGAAGGCUUUCGGGUUGUAAACUGCUUUUCUGAGGGACGAAGAAAGUGACGGUACCUCAGGAAUAAGCCACGGCUAACUACGUGCCAGCAGCCGCGGUAAUACGUAGGUGGCAAGCGUUAUCCGGAUUUAUUGGGGGUAAAGGGCGUGUAGGCGGGAAAGCAAGUCAGAUGUGAAAACUCAGGGCUCAAACCUGAGCCUGCAUUUGAAACUGGUUUUCUUGAGUGCUGGAGAGGCAAUCGGAAUUCCGUGUGUAGCGGUGAAAUGCGUAGAUAUACGGAGGAACACCAGAGGCGAAGGCAGAUUGCUGGAUAGUAACUGACGCUGAGGCGCGAAAGCGUGGGGAGCAAACAGGAUUAGAUACCCUAGUAGUC